This 64-nucleotide transfer RNA is filed under the name Libellula angelina. Its description in RNAcentral is "tRNA-Ile". The record is from RNAcentral. Lineage: Eukaryota; Metazoa; Arthropoda; Insecta; Odonata; Libellulidae.
AAUAAGAUGCCUGAUAAAAGGAUUAUUUUGAUAGAAUAAAUUAUGUAGGAAUCUACUCUUAUUA